This 217-nucleotide ribosomal RNA is filed under the name Mycolicibacterium goodii. Its description in RNAcentral is "partial 16S ribosomal RNA". It matches the Rfam family "Bacterial small subunit ribosomal RNA", at positions 1 to 212 of the family's 1533-position model. The record is from RNAcentral. Lineage: Bacteria; Bacillati; Actinomycetota; Actinomycetes; Mycobacteriales; Mycobacteriaceae.
UUUUGUUUGGAGAGUUUGAUCCUGGCUCAGGACGAACGCUGGCGGCGUGCUUAACACAUGCAAGUCGAACGGAAAGGCCCUUUCGGGGGUACUCGAGUGGCGAACGGGUGAGUAACACGUGGGUGAUCUGCCCUGCACUUUGGGAUAAGCCUGGGAAACUGGGUCUAAUACCGAAUAUACCCUGCUGGUCGCAUGGCCUGGUGGGGGAAAGCUUUUG